This is a long non-coding RNA of Macadamia integrifolia, 564 nucleotides long. RefSeq lists it as uncharacterized. The record is from RefSeq and is a predicted model, not a curated record. The transcript has 4 exons. NCBI's taxonomy places the organism in Eukaryota, Viridiplantae, Streptophyta, Magnoliopsida, Proteales, Proteaceae.
GGCGUUUGGUUCGAUUUAUCCAUCGGACCAGAUCCCAGGGAAUCAGUUUCCGAUUUAAAUUAAACCGUUUGGUUCAUUUUUGUGAAAAAUCGGUUCGGAGUCAUGGUGGCCAGUAGAAUCAGGGUAACCAACUAAAAACCAUGAUUCAUCCGGAUUAACCUCAAUAGGUUAAUCCGGAAUCGAGUCACGGUUCCGGAGGUUCGUAUAAAAGCGAUGGAUUCAAGUUGAAUCCAUUUCCACAUCAUCCUGCGAUUCUGCCGAUGAAGUCCGACCGAGGUUCAGCGACGGUGAAGCAACAGCUCGCAUCUGAGAAGAACACCUAAAACCGAGUUGAUUGAAGGUUGUAACUUCAUAUCUAGGGUUUACCCUAUUUCCAAAUCAGACGAUCGACUCCAAGGUUUGAAGAACUAGAAUCGAAGCUUGAUUUAAGUUUUGAUGUGAUGGAACCAACAGGAGAUUCUAAUAGUAGGUCACGGGACAUUGCUUCAUGGCCUAGCGCCGUUUCUCAUUACAUGUUGGAGUGUGUAUUGAAGCAGUACAAGAGUGGUAAGGGUGGAGAUAAUG